AAGCUCAACAUAUUUACCCAAAGCUUCUUUCUCAACUUGACAUAGCUCAGGGUCAAAAGGAGUUUUAAAAAAUUGCUCUUGAAUUGAAUCCAACUCCUCUUUAGCAGCACAAACCCUCUUAGAAAUGUUAGAAUAACAUUGCAGAUUAAAAUUCCUAAGCACAACUUUUAAUCUCUUGAGCUUAGAAGAAAGAAUAUACAUGGGUCUCCCAGAAAUUGGCUCUCCCCAAGACUGAAUCAGAACAUCCCUAAACCCAGGAUUAUUCAACCAGAAGUUGAAAAACUUAAAAGGCCUUCUCUUGUGAGUGUUAGGCAGGACAGUAACAAGCAUAGAGCAAUGAUCAAAUAUUCCAGGGGCCACAAAGGUAGCCUCACUAUUGGGGAAAGACACCAACCAUUGAUUGUUAGAAAUAAUCCUAUCAAUCCUACUCUUGUUAUAUCCAGAACCACCCCUCUUGUACUCUUCAUUCGAUACAUAGAGGAAACUGGUGUGAGUGGUGUACGUAAGUGACUAAGGUGAGAUAAAAUAUAUUAAGGUGGUUUAGACAUAUUUACCAUAGACCUGCAACGCAGUGGUCAAAGAAGAGUGACAUGAUAGUAGUGAAUGCUAGGACUAGAAGAAGAGAAAGACCUAAAGUGAUUUGGUAUGCCAUGAUACGGAAGGAUUUGAGCUUACUAAAUUUACGUGAACAGAUAGCCCUGAACAGAGCUCAAUUGGAAAAACAUGAUUCAUGUAGCCGACCCCAAUUUAUUGGGACACAAGGCUUGGUUUGGUUUGGUUUUCUUGAUUGUUCUUCGCGCGUUGUAUGUUUGUUAUUUGGCCGAUUACUCAACAGUUUUCUAAUAUUGUGAUGGCAGCGGCAUUGAAUUCGGAAUACGAGGUUUGAUAAUCAUGUGUUUGUGGUUGAAUUAGAGUAGAUUGUAGUCUACGAAUGCAUAAGAUAAAUUAAUUGAAAUCACGAUCACGCAAGAUGACAUAAGCACAAGAUUAUAGAGAUACAUCGAAGUUGCGGCAGUUGCCCUUGGCUACCACCAUCAAGUCUCUGUAGUUUGGGGUUUAGGGCCACAAAUCUGUGAAAUAGUACCAUAAGUACCCUCAGGUGAAAUAGAAAACUUAGUUGGAUCUGCAACAUGCACGGGCAGGUGAACUAUACCUUGCUUGACAUAUCAUAAAACUGUCUGUUCGAACUAAUCAAUUCCCAAAUGUGAAUGCUGAUGACAAUGUAAGUUUAGUGGUGGUAUGGCCAGAAUAUGACUCACUCUGGAAAGUACUAAUAUACUAUAAGAAACAGUAGGCGCUUCAAAAGGGUUAGAUUCUAAGGGCGCUACUGAAAACCUUUUUUUAAGUCAUGUGAUAGGGGGUGUAAACGCAUCAUUGGGGUAGGGCGAAAACGAAGACAGUGUGUGGUUUCUGAUCUCUAUUUCCUUGCUAUCGCAUGGUCCGGUUGAUCAGAGAGUUUUCUUAGCAGAAAAGCUGUAAAAUAAUGUAAAACUAAAAUUUUGAUGAUCUAUGAUUUAUUUGUAGUAAUUUGAGAAAAUUAACUCCUUGCCCUACUCCAUUUUAUGUCCCAUUCUGGUAUGCUAGGGUUGGUUUUCCCUAGCCUUGGGGAAUGCUUGUUAAUAUGUCACUUAAUAUGCUGUCACGAGGGCAUAGUUUUAGCUUCUAGGAUUUAAAAUCUUUCGACUUCUUGAGAAAGGUUCUUAUUGUGUUAGCAGCUAUUGAGAAAUGGGAUUAAAAUAGAAGGUGUUGUUCUUCUCUCUUAGAUGCCGGGUGCUUUGGCCAGUGGUGCACUUCAUCUUUCUUACUAAUUAGCAGCUAUUGGAAAACUUGAUUAUAAUAGGUAUUUUACUCUCUUAGAUGCGGAGUGCAUUGACAUGUGAUGCACUUCAUCCUAGAUUGGCAGCUAAUUUACAACUUUCAGGUUCGCAAUAGCACUUCAUCCUACUCAUAUUUACCCCUCUAGUCACAAAUAGGUUCAUCUUCACCAUUUCACUUUUUGUAGAGUAAAUCCCACAUGCUUAGACAUGACAUGGUUGCUCACUAGAAGUUCAUAACAACUUUGAUUCGGGUCUCUUGGAUUUUUACCUUGAAAGGAUAGGAUGCAGGCCUAAGUGGAGAUCGCUGUUUAGCAAAAGAGUAAUUCUAGGAGGUGUGGAUGUAAGUUUUGAGGGUUGGGAGAUUAUUUCGGGUUUCGUGAUUGGCUUGUUGGAGUAGUAGCUCCUAACAUAUCGUCUUGGCACGUUGGAUUCAUGUUCACUUGUCUGUGUUUGUGCAGUAAGAAGUACAAUAGAUCAAACAAGUCCGGAAGAAAGAAUUUGAGGUUGGUUGUGGGGAUGGAGCUAUGAGACUGUGUCCUUCCUAAGCUAUAUUUGAGCUUGUUUAUUGUCCAAUGAGUUACAUUAGAUGAUUAUGUCUUGGUGUAUAUGUGAAACUGCAGAAGAUUUCUGAAAGGCUCAAGCCCUUUAAGGUUUGCUAGAUGUAGCAGUUGGGUAACCUGAUUAUUUGGGCACUAUUAUGGGACAUGGACUGAUGAUGACAAGAAUGGAAAUUUCCGUUAUCAUAAUAAGUACCUGGAUAUGAUAGGCAAACAUCACAAGUCAUGGUAACUGCUUAGGUAGCUUGGUCAGUCCUAGAGAUGUGGCAGCGGGCUCGAUAAUUGAAGCUUUUUAUAUUGAUAAAAUGGUUAGAGCAAGAGGCAGAACUCAGCUUCUUAGCCACCUAAGUUCUCCUUCAAAA
This is a long non-coding RNA of Rhododendron vialii, 2736 nucleotides long. RefSeq lists it as uncharacterized. The record is from RefSeq and is a predicted model, not a curated record. NCBI's taxonomy places the organism in Eukaryota, Viridiplantae, Streptophyta, Magnoliopsida, Ericales, Ericaceae. The transcript has 2 exons.